RNAcentral lists this ribosomal RNA (468 nucleotides) under uncultured bacterium. Its description in RNAcentral is "partial 16S ribosomal RNA". It matches the Rfam family "Bacterial small subunit ribosomal RNA", at positions 28 to 507 of the family's 1533-position model. The record is from RNAcentral.
GACGAACGCUGGCGGCGUGCUUAACACAUGCAAGUCGAACGGAAAGGCCCUGCUUUUGUGGGGUGCUCGAGUGGCGAACGGGUGAGUAACACGUGAGUAACCUGCCCUUGACUUUGGGAUAACUUCAGGAAACUGGGGCUAAUACCGGAUAGGAGCUCCUGCUGCAUGGUGGGGGUUGGAAAGUUUCGGCGGUUGGGGAUGGAUUCGCGGCUUAUCAGCUUGUUGGUGGGGUAGUGGCUUACCAAGGCUUUGACGGGUAGCCGGCCUGAGAGGGUGACCGGCCACAUUGGGACUGAGAUACGGCCCAGACUCCUACGGGAGGCAGCAGUGGGGAAUAUUGCACAAUGGGCGGAAGCCUGAUGCAGCAACGCCGCGUGCGGGAUGACGGCCUUCGGGUUGUAAACCGCUUUCGCCGGUGACGAAGCGUGAGUGACGGUAAUGGGUAAAGAAGCACCGGCUAACUACGUG